CACACCAAACGGUGUCUGGUC
This 21-nucleotide microRNA is filed under the name Spodoptera frugiperda (fall armyworm). Its description in RNAcentral is "sfr-miR-10497-5p". The record is from miRBase by way of RNAcentral. Lineage: Eukaryota; Metazoa; Arthropoda; Insecta; Lepidoptera; Noctuidae.